GAUGAACGCUGACAGAAUGCUUAACACAUGCAAGUCUACUUGAACUUCGGUUUGGGUGGCGGACGGGUGAGUAACGCGUAAAGAACUUGCCUCACAGAUAGGGACAACAUUUGGAAACGAAUGCUAAUACCUGAUAUUAUGAUUUUAGGGCAUCCUAGAAUUAUGAAAGCUAUAUGCACUGUGAGAGAGCUUUGCGUCCCAUUAGCUAGUUGGAGAGGUAACGGCUCACCAAGGCGAUGAUGGGUAGCCGGCCUGAGAGGGUGAUCGGCCACAAGGGGACUGAGACACGGCCCUUACUCCUACGGGAGGCAGCAGUGGGGAAUAUUGGACAAUGGACCAAGAGUCUGAUCCAGCAAUUCUGUGUGCACGAUGAAGUUUUUCGGAAUGUAAAGUGCUUUCAGUUGGGAAGAAAAAAAUGACGGUACCAACAGAAGAAGAGACGGCUAAAUACGUG
This 454-nucleotide ribosomal RNA is filed under the name uncultured bacterium. Its description in RNAcentral is "partial 16S ribosomal RNA". It matches the Rfam family "Bacterial small subunit ribosomal RNA", at positions 28 to 507 of the family's 1533-position model. The record is from RNAcentral.